ACCUGUGGAGAGAUGUCGUAAAUCAUUUUGUCACUUACUCCAUAUGUAAUACCAACAAAUCUAUGUGUGCAAAUAUGUCGUAAAUCAUUCUACCACUCACUCUAUAAGUAAUAACAACAAACCUUCCUGUGCAGAGAUGUCGUAAAUCAUUCUAUCGCUUCCAUAGUUAUAUCAAGAAAGAAACCUACCUGUGAAGAGAUGUCGUAAAUCAUUCUAUCACUCACUCCCUACGUAAUAUCAACAAACCUACAGAUUUGUCGUAAAUCAUUCUGUCACUCACUCCAUAGGUAAUACAAACAAACCUACCUGUGCAGAUAUGUCGUAAAUCAUUCUAUCACUCACUUUAUAGGUAAUACCAACAAACCUACCUGGGAAGAGAUGUCGUAAAUCAUUCUUUCACUCCCAUAGGUAAUAUCAACAACAAACCUACCUGUGCAGAGAUGUCGUAAAUUAUUCUAUCUCACGUUAUAUGUAAUACCAACAAACCUACAUGUGCAGAGAUGUCGUAAAUCAUUUCAUCACUCCCAUGGGUAAUAUCAACAACAAACCUACCUGUGCAGAGAUGUCGUACAUUAUUCUAUCUCACUUUAUAUGUAAUACCAACAAACCUACCUGUGCAGAGAUGUCGUAAAUCAUUCUAUCACUCCCAUAGGUUAUACCAACAAACAAACCAAUCAGUGCUGUCAAACCAUAUAGUGACAUAGUUAUUUUUCAAAAAUCUUCGUUAAUGAACAACGUCUACGUAUGCAACCUAGACAUCUAAUGUUAAAACAGCAGUAAUGUACAUUUAUAUGAGAUAAGGAUACCGGUUUGUCGGAAAUAUACAUCUACAAACAGCAUAUGAAUCAUAGCUUUAAUGAACUUGUU
This 867-nucleotide long non-coding RNA is filed under the name Mytilus galloprovincialis (Mediterranean mussel). Lineage: Eukaryota; Metazoa; Mollusca; Bivalvia; Mytilida; Mytilidae. The record is from RNAcentral.